RNAcentral lists this ribosomal RNA (392 nucleotides) under uncultured bacterium. RNAcentral describes it as "partial 16S ribosomal RNA". It matches the Rfam family "Bacterial small subunit ribosomal RNA", at positions 523 to 918 of the family's 1533-position model. The record is from RNAcentral.
AUACGGAGGAUCCGAGCGUUAUCCGGAUUUAUUGGGUUUAAAGGGUGCGCAGGCGGCCAUUUAAGUCAGCGGUUAAAUCGUGGGGCUCAACCCCAUUCUGCCGUUGAUACUGGGUGGCUUGAUUGCGGUCGAGGUUGGCGGAAUUCGUUGUGUAGCGGUGAAAUGCAUAGAUAUGACGAAGAACACCGAUUGCGUAGGCAGCUGACCAGAUCGCAAACGACGCUCAUGCACGAAAGUGCGGGGAUCGAACAGGAUUAGAUACCCUGGUAGUCCGCACAGUAAACGAUGAAUACUUGUUUUCGGCGAUAUAAUGUCGGAGGCAAAGCGAAAGCGAUAAGUAUUCCACCUGGGGAGUACGCCGGCAACGGUGAAACUCAAAUGAAUUGGCGGGG